GACGAACGCUGGCGGCGUGCCUAAUACAUGCAAGUUGAGCGAUGAAGAUUGGUGCUUGCCCCAAUUUGAAGAGCAGCGAACGGGUGAGUAACGCGUGGGGAAUCUGCCUUUGAGCGGGGGACAACAUUUGGAAACGAAUGCUAAUACCGCAUAACAACUUUAAACAUAAGUUUUAAGUUUGAAAGAUGCAAUUGCAUCACUCAAAGAUGAUCCCGCGUUGUAUUAGCUAGUUGGUGAGGUAAAGGCUCACCAAGGCGAUGAUACAUAGCCGACCUGAGAGGGUGAUCGGCCACAUUGGGACUGAGACACGGCCCAAACGCCUACGGGAGGCAGCAGUAGGGAAUCUUCGGCAAUGGACGAAAGUCUGACCGAGCAACGCCGCGUGGGUGAAGAAGGGUUUCGGAUCGUAAAACUCUGUUGGUAGAGAAGAACGUUGGUGAGAGUGGAAAGCUCAUCAAGUGACGGUAACUACCCAGAAAGGGACGGCUAACUACGUG
RNAcentral lists this ribosomal RNA (497 nucleotides) under uncultured bacterium. RNAcentral describes it as "partial 16S ribosomal RNA". It matches the Rfam family "Bacterial small subunit ribosomal RNA", at positions 28 to 507 of the family's 1533-position model. The record is from RNAcentral.